RNAcentral lists this ribosomal RNA (493 nucleotides) under uncultured bacterium. Its description in RNAcentral is "bacterial SSU rRNA". It matches the Rfam family "Bacterial small subunit ribosomal RNA", at positions 15 to 518 of the family's 1533-position model. The record is from RNAcentral.
GAUUAUGGCUCAGAACGAACGCUGGUGGCGUGUCUUAUACAUGCAAGUCGAGCGAGGCAGCAAUGCCGAGCGGCGAACGGGUGAGUAACGCGUAAGCAAUCUGCCCCAUAUCAGGAAAUACCCGUGCCAACGCGCGGUUAAUGUCCAGGAGAGUGGCCCUCUGCAUGGAGGGUUGACUAGAGAUUUAUCGGUAUGGGAUGAGCUUGCGUCCGAUUAGCUAGUUGGCGGGCAACGGCCCACCAAGGCGACGAUCGGUAGCCGGCCUGAGAGGGUGAUCGGCCACAUUGGGACUGAGAUACGGCCCAGACUCCUACGGGAGGCAGCAGUAGGGAAUAUUGCACAAUGGGGGAAACCCUGAUGCAGCAACGCCACGUGUGGGAAGAAAGCAUUUCGGUGUGUAAACCACUGUCAUGAGGGAAUAAGGCCUGUCUUCGGCCAGGACCUUGAAUGUACCUUGAGAGGAAGCACCGGCAAACUUCGUGCCAGCAGCAGC